CCUACGGGGAGCUGCAGUGGGGAAUAUUGGACAAUGGGCGAAAGCCUGAUCCAGCCAUGCCGCGUGUGUGAAGAAGGCCUUCGGGGUGUAAAGCACUUUCAGUGGGGAAGAAAGCCUUGGGGCUAAUACCCUCGAGGAAGGACAUCACCCACAGAAGAAGCACCGGCUAACUCCGUGCCAGCAGCCGCGGUAAUACGGAGGGUGCGAGCGUUAAUCGGAAUUACUGGGCGUAAAGCGCGCGUAGGCGGUCUGAUAAGCCGGUUGUGAAAGCCCCGGGCUCAACCUGGGAACGGCAUCCGGAACUGUCAGGCUUGAGUGCAGGAGAGGAAGGCAGAAUUCGUGGUGUAGCGGUGAAAUGCGUAGAGAUCGGGAGGAAUACCAGUGGCGAAGGCGGCCUUCUGGACUGACACUGACGCUGAGGUGCGAAAGCGUGGGUAGCAAACAGGAUUAGAUACCCCUGUAGUC
This 465-nucleotide ribosomal RNA is filed under the name Vreelandella stevensii. Its description in RNAcentral is "partial 16S ribosomal RNA". It matches the Rfam family "Bacterial small subunit ribosomal RNA", at positions 338 to 795 of the family's 1533-position model. The record is from RNAcentral. Lineage: Bacteria; Pseudomonadati; Pseudomonadota; Gammaproteobacteria; Oceanospirillales; Halomonadaceae.